This 310-nucleotide unclassified non-coding RNA is filed under the name Hevea brasiliensis (rubber tree). The record is from RNAcentral. Lineage: Eukaryota; Viridiplantae; Streptophyta; Magnoliopsida; Malpighiales; Euphorbiaceae.
GGAUCCUUGAAGGGCAAAAACGGUGGAUAGGAAACAGCACUUUUGCAGAUGUGUUGGUUAUAUUUGCCAGAAACGCAGCCACAAACCAAAUAAAUGGUUUCAUUGUACAGAAGGAUGCUCCAGGCUUGCAAUGUACUAAAAUAGAAAACAAAAUUGGGUUGCGGAUGGUUCAGAAUGGAGAUAUCCUCUUUAAGAAAGUGUUUGUUCCUGAUGAGGAUAGACUACCAGGUGUCAAUUCUUUCAACGAUACAAGUAAGGUGCUUGCUGUAUCACGUGUCAUGGUUGCAUGGCUGCCUAUAGGCAUUGCAAU